AGCGCCAAUCUUUGAUGGAGCCCCAUAACCACUGGAAAAUGGUCUGAGUCGUCACCCACCGUCCUAACCCUAGUCUUAGCUCCAUCGUACAUGUCCUAAUGACUCUAAUGUAGGCUUCUCGUACGCUCUUCGCCUCCAAACACCUCCCUUGGGACCUUGUCGUACGCCUUCUCCAAGUCGAUAAGCACCAUGUGCAGGUCCUUCUUCUUUUCCCUGAACUGCUCCACCAGCCUCCUGACAAGGUGGAUAGCUUCUGUAAUGGAGCGACCCGGCAUGAAACCGAAUUGGUUCACAGAUAUAGAUGUCAUCUCCC
RNAcentral lists this long non-coding RNA (313 nucleotides) under Nicotiana benthamiana. RNAcentral describes it as "long non-coding RNA (NBEN_LNC025242)". Lineage: Eukaryota; Viridiplantae; Streptophyta; Magnoliopsida; Solanales; Solanaceae. The record is from RNAcentral.